Molecule: long non-coding RNA, 271 nt
Filed under: Solanum lycopersicum (tomato)
Lineage: Eukaryota; Viridiplantae; Streptophyta; Magnoliopsida; Solanales; Solanaceae
Description: partial TCONS_00170045
Source: RNAcentral
UCUCGAUCUUUUUCGUAGUUGAGAAGGGGGAAGGAGUCUAAAUCAAUGGACAUUAAUGAACCAUCAUUGAUGGACGUUGCACAUGACAGGAUCAAUUCGACUCAAGGUCCGGCGCUAAUAGAAGUUGCUUACUUUCCUAGUAGCGAAGGAGAGGGCAGGGCUUUUUUCGUAGUAAUAGUGGGCCGGUCUCAUGAGAUCUAUGCCGGCCGUCGGAAUCAAACGAAGGUCGAAGGACCAUUCGAUUCAUUAAGGGGCAUAGCGGCGCCGUGCC